This 281-nucleotide ribosomal RNA is filed under the name Pseudo-nitzschia fraudulenta. RNAcentral's name for it is "partial 28S ribosomal RNA". It matches the Rfam family "Eukaryotic large subunit ribosomal RNA", at positions 186 to 475 of the family's 3401-position model. Lineage: Eukaryota; Bacillariophyta; Bacillariophyceae; Bacillariales; Bacillariaceae. The record is from RNAcentral.
UUCCUUGGAAAAGGACAGCUGAGAGGGUGAAACUCCCGUCCGCCUGGUAGAAUGAGUCUUUGUCAACGAGUCGAGUUGUUUGGGAUUGCAGCUCUAAUUUGGUGGUAAAUUCCGUCUAAAGCUAAAUAUUGGUGGGAGACCGAUAGCGUACAAGUACCGUGAGGGAAAGAUGCAAAGAACUUUGAAAAGAGAGUUAAAGAGUACCUGAAAUUGCUGAAACGGAAGCGAAGGAAACCAGUGUUUGUUGGUUCAUAUUUCCCUGGCCACUUGUGGUUUGGGCG